RNAcentral lists this ribosomal RNA (440 nucleotides) under uncultured bacterium. RNAcentral's name for it is "partial 16S ribosomal RNA". It matches the Rfam family "Bacterial small subunit ribosomal RNA", at positions 339 to 795 of the family's 1533-position model. The record is from RNAcentral.
CUACGGGCCGGCUCCAGUAGGGAAUCUUAGACAAUGGGGGAAACCCUGAUCUAGCCAUGCCGCGUGAGUGAUGAAGGCCUUAGGGUUGUAAAGCUCUUUCGCUGGGGAAGAUAAUGACGGUACCCAGUAAAGAAACCCCGGCUAACUCCGUGCCAGCAGCCGCGGUAAUACGGAGGGGGUUAGCGUUGUUCGGAAUUACUGGGCGUAAAGCGCGCGUAGGCGGGCUAUUAAGUCAGGGGUGAAAUCCCGGGGCUCAACCCCGGAACUGCCUUUGAUACUGGUAGUCUUGAGUUCGAGAGAGGUGAGUGGAAUUCCGAGUGUAGAGGUGAAAUUCGUAGAUAUUCGGAGGAACAUCAGUGGCGAAGGCGACUCACUGGCUCGAUACUGACGCUGAGGUGCGAAAGUGUGGGGAGCAAACAGGAUUAGAUACCCUCGUAGUC